AAAAAGAAAACCCUAAAUCGCGAUUUGGCAGGCAUGGCUUCCACAACCGGGCGAUGGGCGUCAAUUCGUCCGAAGAAAAGAUAAGCUUCAAGUAGUGUGCACCUGGUCACCUACCAAUGUUACUAUGAAACGGGUACCAAGGCGGUAGAACCAAAUAAUGCCACUUCUCCCCAUGAAGGUGCUUGGCUUCGUAAUUUUCUUGAUCGUGAAGCUAAGCGUUGCCGCACUAUAAAGUGGAAAAGACUCCGACCUCCAGAUGCAGAUUUUAGUUCUCUUCGGAACUGCCUUAUCGAUCCCCCAGGAGAGGCCGUGUAGACGUUCAUGGAUAUUGCUUGUGUUUUGAAGAAAAGGAAUUGUGCAUCUUUCUUAUAUUUCUUCGGAAACCAGUUUAUUACCCAAAUGUAUUGUUGGUUAAUUUAACGUCAAUAUUCUGAGGAUUUAGAAUUAUUGUGACAAAAUAUUUGAAGAUAAUAUUGUUAUUAUAAACUCUAGUAGAGUGCUACAUUUGGUUGA
Long non-coding RNA from Rosa rugosa (rugosa rose), 513 nucleotides. RefSeq lists it as uncharacterized. The record is from RefSeq and is a predicted model, not a curated record. NCBI's taxonomy places the organism in Eukaryota, Viridiplantae, Streptophyta, Magnoliopsida, Rosales, Rosaceae. The transcript has 5 exons.